Molecule: ribosomal RNA, 916 nt
Filed under: uncultured bacterium
Lineage: Bacteria
Description: bacterial SSU rRNA
Rfam family: Bacterial small subunit ribosomal RNA
Source: RNAcentral
UUGUUGGUAAGGUAAAAGCUUACCAAGGCUUCGAUCAGUAGCUGGUCUGAGAGGACGACCAGCCACACUGGGACUGAGACACGGCCCAGACUCCUACGGGAGGCAGCAGUGGGGAAUUUUGGACAAUGGGGGCAACCCUGAUCCAGCCAUGCCGCGUGAGUGAAGAAGGCCUUCGGGUUGUAAAGCUCUUUCAGCCGGAACGAAACGGUUACGGUUAACACCCGUGACUACUGACGGUACCGGAAGAAGAAGCAUCGGCUAACUACGUGCCAGCAGCCGCGGUAAUACGUAGGGUGCGAGCGUUAAUCGGAAUUACUGGGCGUAAAGCGUGCGCAGGUGGUUUUGUAAGUCAGAUGUGAAAGCCCCGGGCUCAACCUGGGAACUGCGUUUGAAACUACAAGACUAGAGUGUGGCAGAGGGGGGUGGAAUUCCGCGUGUAGCAGUGAAAUGCGUAGAGAUGUGGAGGAACACCGAUGGCGAAGGCAGCCCCCUGGGUCAACACUGACGCUCAGGCACGAAAGCAUGGGGAGCAAACAGGAUUAGAUACCCUGGUAGUCCAUGCCCUAAACGAUGUCAACUAGUUGUCGGGCCUUUACGGGCUUGGUAACGUAGCUAACGCGUGAAGUUGACCGCCUGGGGAGUACGAUCGCAAGAUUAAAACUCAAAUGAAUUGACGGGGACCCGCACAAGCGGUGGAUUAUGUGGAUUAAUUCGAUGCAACGCGAAAAACCUUACCUACCCUUGACAUGUAUCGAAGCCCGCAGAAAAGCGGGGGUGCCCGAAAGGGAACGAUAACACAGGUGCUGCAUGGCUGUCGUCAGCUCGUGUCGUGAGAUGUUGGGUUAAGUCCCGCAACGAGCGCAACCCUUGUCAUUAAUUGCCAUCAUUUAGUUGGGCACUUUAAUGAGACUGCCGG